Molecule: unclassified non-coding RNA, 314 nt
Filed under: uncultured Scutellinia
Lineage: Eukaryota; Fungi; Ascomycota; Pezizomycetes; Pezizales; Pyronemataceae
Description: sequence contains ITS1
Rfam family: 5.8S ribosomal RNA (bases 1-105)
Source: RNAcentral
GAAAUGCGAUAAGUAGUGUGAAUUGCAGAAUUCCGUGAAUCAUCGAAUCUUUGAACGCACAUUGCGCCUCCUGGUACUCCGGGGGGCAUGCCUGUCCGAGCGUCAUCAUAACCCUCUCAAGCCUCGUCGCUUGGUGUUGGGGCGCGACCGUCCCGUCGGGCGGUCCGCUCCGAAUUUCAAUGGCAGACCACGGCGUCGACGUCAGCGUAGUGAGCAUCUUUGCAUCGCGAAGCGUCGGCCGCCCGUCCCGCCGGACCAAACCCUUCUUUCUCACGGUUGACCUCGGAUCAGGUAGGGAUACCCGCUGAACUUAA